CCCCGACCUCCGGCUGCCUGGUCGUUUUGGCGGUAGCGGAAGUCAGCACAAGGCCGGGGAAAGCCAGUCGUGUACCUGGGGUUGUGCUGGGUCUUUGAAGCUGGGUCUAGAGGUCAGAGAUGUGAAAUGUCAGCGAUUCUCCUGCUGGCCUCGAAGCCGCC
Molecule: long non-coding RNA, 161 nt
Filed under: Zalophus californianus (California sea lion)
Lineage: Eukaryota; Metazoa; Chordata; Mammalia; Carnivora; Otariidae
Description: lncRNA (ENSZCAG00015017737.1)
Source: RNAcentral